RNAcentral lists this transfer RNA (64 nucleotides) under Eudonia angustea. RNAcentral's name for it is "tRNA-Val". Lineage: Eukaryota; Metazoa; Arthropoda; Insecta; Lepidoptera; Crambidae. The record is from RNAcentral.
CAAAUUAGAGCUUGAAUAAGUAUUUCAUUUACAUUGAAAUGAUAUUGAUUAACAAUUAAUUUGA